CCUACGGGAGGCAGCAGUGGGGAAUAUUGCGCAAUGGGCGAAAGCCUGACGCAGCGACGCCGCGUGAGGGAUGAAGGUCUUCGGAUCGUAAACCUCUGUCAGCAGGGAAGAACGGUCACUGUGCUAAUCAGCAGUGAAUUGACGGUACCUGCAAAGGAAGCACCGGCUAACUCCGUGCCAGCAGCCGCGGUAAUACGGAGGGUGCGAGCGUUAAUCGGAAUUACUGGGCGUAAAGCGCUCGUAGACGGUAUGUCAAGUCAAGGGUGAAAUCCCCGCGCUCAACGUGGGAACUGCCUUUGAAACUGGCAAACUGGAGUGUGUGAGAGGAUAGUGGAAUUCCAGGUGUAGGAGUGAAAUGCGUAGAUAUCUGGAGGAACAUCAGUGGCGAAGGCGACUAUCUGGCACAUAACUGACGCUGAGGAGCGAAAGCGUGGGUAGCAAACAGGAUUAGAUACCCGGGUAGUC
This 465-nucleotide ribosomal RNA is filed under the name uncultured bacterium. Its description in RNAcentral is "partial 16S ribosomal RNA". It matches the Rfam family "Bacterial small subunit ribosomal RNA", at positions 338 to 795 of the family's 1533-position model. The record is from RNAcentral.